AACGAACGCUGGCGGCAUGCCUAACACAUGCAAGUCGAACGAGACCUUCGGGUCUAGUGGCGCACGGGUGCGUAACGCGUGGGAACCUGCCCUUAGGUUCGGAACAACUCCCCGAAAGGGGUGCUAAUACCGGAUAAUGUCUUCGGACCAAAGAUUUAUCGCCUUUGGAUGGGCCCGCGUUGGAUUAGCUAGUUGGUAGGGUAAAAGCCUACCAAGGCGACGAUCCAUAGCUGGUCUGAGAGGAUGAUCAGCCACACUGGGACUGAGACACGGCCCAGACUCCUACGGGAGGCAGCAGUGGGGAAUAUUGGACAAUGGGCGAAAGACUGAUCCAGCAAUGCCGCGUGAGUGAUGAAGGCCUUAGGGUUGUAAAGCUCUUUUACCCGGGAUGAUAAUGACAGUACCGGGAGAAUAAGCUCCGGCUAACUCCGUG
RNAcentral lists this ribosomal RNA (433 nucleotides) under uncultured bacterium. RNAcentral's name for it is "partial 16S ribosomal RNA". It matches the Rfam family "Bacterial small subunit ribosomal RNA", at positions 29 to 507 of the family's 1533-position model. The record is from RNAcentral.